CCUACGGGAGGCAGCAGUGGGGAAUAUUGCACAAUGGAGGAAAGUCUGAUGCAGCGAAGUCGCGUGAGGGAAGACGGUCUUAGGAUUGUAAACCUCUGUCUUUGGGGAAGAAAAUGACGGUACCCAAAGAGGAAGCUCCGGCUAACUACGUGCCAGCAGCCGCGGUAAUACGUCGGGAGCGAGCGUUGUCCGGAAUUACUGGGUGUAAAGGGAGCGUAGGGGGGCGAGAAAGUUGAAUGUUAAAUCUACAGGUUUAACGGGUAAGUGCGUUUAAAAAUUCUUGUCUUGAGUGAAGUAGAGGCAGGCGGAAUUCGUGGUGUAGCGGUGAAAUGCGUAGAUAUUAGGAGGAACACCAGUGGCGAAGGCGGCUUGCUGAGCUUUAACUGACGUUGAGGCUCGAAAGCGUGGGGAGCAAACAGGAUUAGAUACCCUUGUAGUC
RNAcentral lists this ribosomal RNA (439 nucleotides) under uncultured bacterium. RNAcentral's name for it is "partial 16S ribosomal RNA". It matches the Rfam family "Bacterial small subunit ribosomal RNA", at positions 338 to 795 of the family's 1533-position model. The record is from RNAcentral.